Molecule: long non-coding RNA, 252 nt
Organism: Herpailurus yagouaroundi (jaguarundi)
Lineage: Eukaryota; Metazoa; Chordata; Mammalia; Carnivora; Felidae
Exons: 2
Source: RefSeq, a predicted model, not a curated record
CUCGCUGGCAGUCUUUAAAGUUCCUAAUUCAGACAAGGCCAGAGAAAACACAUCAUCAUAUGUGAGGGUCUUCGGGAAAGCCUCGGCACAACGUCCGGUGCCUAACGUCCUAGAAGAACUUCCUAAAGACCAAUUCAGGCCGCAUUCUUUGAUCUCGUUCAUGGAAAGAAGGGUGAUGUUAAAAUCCACUCUCCUAAUACUCGUCAGCGCCUCGAGGUCGUUAGGACGAAAAUAAAGCUUCCAACUCCAAGA